CUGGCACAAAAACCACUUCAUUGAGCUGAAGUGGUCUGGGUGACUAUAGUGACCCUUUAACGUUUUUAGGUAUACAAAUGGUUAAAAAAAUCCAGGUGAGGCGGAAACUACAUCCAACAGUUAGGGAGAGAGGAGAUGAAAUGGGUUCAAACACUGGAAACUCUUGAACCUAAAGGACUUAAUAUUGAAUUUGAUUUAUAUAAUUCCUUUUAAUUUUCUAAUCAGUUUUUGUAAU
Molecule: non-coding RNA, 235 nt
Organism: Pelobates cultripes (western spadefoot toad)
Lineage: Eukaryota; Metazoa; Chordata; Amphibia; Anura; Pelobatidae
Source: the annotation of a GenBank genome assembly